GUGUGCUCCUUCGGCCGCACAUAUACUACACCUGGGACGAUACAGAGAAGAUUAGCAUGGCCCCUGUGCAAGGAUGACGUGUAAAUUUGUGAAGAGUUCCAUAUUUUU
Molecule: small nuclear RNA, 108 nt
Filed under: Chinchilla lanigera (long-tailed chinchilla)
Lineage: Eukaryota; Metazoa; Chordata; Mammalia; Rodentia; Chinchillidae
Source: RNAcentral